UGGGGAAUAUUGGACAAUGGGGGCAACCCUGAUCCAGCAAUGCCGCGUGUGUGAAGAAGGCCUUCGGGUUGUAAAGCACUUUAGGCUGGGAAGAAGGUGAGUUGUUUAAGAGAUGAUUCACUUGACGGUACCGGCAGAAUAAGCACCGGCUAACUCUGUGCCAGCAGCCGCGGUAAUACAGAGGGUGCGAGCGUUAAUCGGAAUUACUGGGCGUAAAGGGCGCGUAGGUGGUUUGUUAAGAUUGUUGUGAAAUCCCCGGGCUUAACCCGGGAACUGCAACGAUGACUGGCGAGCUUGAGUAUUGUAGAGGGUAGUGGAAUUUCCGGUGUAGCGGUGAAAUGCGUAGAGAUCGGAAGGAACACCAGUGGCGAAGGCGGCUACCUGGACAAAUACUGACACUGAGGCGCGAGAGCGUGGGGAGCAAACAGGAUUAGAUACCCCCGUAGUCC
RNAcentral lists this ribosomal RNA (449 nucleotides) under uncultured bacterium. RNAcentral describes it as "bacterial SSU rRNA". It matches the Rfam family "Bacterial small subunit ribosomal RNA", at positions 355 to 796 of the family's 1533-position model. The record is from RNAcentral.